Molecule: ribosomal RNA, 476 nt
Filed under: uncultured bacterium
Lineage: Bacteria
Description: partial 16S ribosomal RNA
Rfam family: Bacterial small subunit ribosomal RNA
Source: RNAcentral
GAUGAACGCUGGCGGCGUGCCUAACACAUGCAAGUCGAGCGGGGGUAUUCUUUCGGGAGUAUCUUAGCGGCGGACGGGUGAGUAACGCGUGGGUAAUCUGUCUUAUACAGGGGGAUAACGUCUGGAAACGGACGCAAAACCGCAUGAGCUUGAGUGUUCGCAUGGACAUUUGAGGAAAGGGAGACCGGUAUAAGGUGAGCCUGCGUCUGAUUAGCUAGUUGGUGGGGUAAGAGCCUACCAAGGCGACGAUCAGUAGCCGAUCUGAGAGGAUAGACGGCCACAUUGGGACUGAGACACGGCCCAAACUCCUACGGGAGGCAGCAGUGAGGAAUAUUGCACAAUGGGCGAAAGCCUGAUGCAGCAACGCCGCGUGAGGGAAGAAGGCUUACGGGUUGUAAACCUCUAUCGACCGGGACGAAUAAUGACGGUACCGGGGUAAGAAGCACCGGCUAACUACGUGCCAGCAGCCGCCGUAA